Molecule: unclassified non-coding RNA, 238 nt
Filed under: uncultured Russula
Lineage: Eukaryota; Fungi; Basidiomycota; Agaricomycetes; Russulales; Russulaceae
Description: sequence contains ITS2
Source: RNAcentral
AAUCAUCAAAACCUUUUCUUUGAUCAUUUUGGUCAAGAAUGGGAUUUUGGACUUGGAGGACCAAUGCUUGCUCUCACCUUUUGAAAGUGAGCUCCUCUCAAAUAAAUUAGUGGGGGUUUGCUUUGCCGAUCCUUGACGUGAUAAGUUGUUUCUACGUUUUGGAUUUGGUUGGACACCUGCUUCUAACCGUCCUAUGGACGACGAUGGUGUUUCGGUCACCCGGACCCAUUAGAAAACC